This 241-nucleotide ribosomal RNA is filed under the name uncultured bacterium. RNAcentral describes it as "partial 16S ribosomal RNA". The record is from RNAcentral.
CUGCUGCCUUCCGUAGGAGUCUGGGCCGUAUCUCAGUCCCAAUGUGGCCGGCCAACCUCUCAGUCCGGCUACUGAUCGUCGCCUUGGUGGGCCGUUACCUCACCAACUAGCUAAUCAGACGCGAGGCCAUCUUCCAGCGAUAAAUCUUUGGCAUCAGUGCCAUGCGACACCAAUGCGUCAUGCGGUAUUAGCAGUCGUUUCCAACUGUUGUCCCCCUCUGGAAGGCAGGUUCCUCACGUCG